RNAcentral lists this long non-coding RNA (214 nucleotides) under Elaeis guineensis (African oil palm). Its description in RNAcentral is "long non-coding RNA (EGUI_LNC067439)". The record is from RNAcentral. Lineage: Eukaryota; Viridiplantae; Streptophyta; Magnoliopsida; Arecales; Arecaceae.
CCCGCAAAUCCUCUCUUAUUCUCUUCCUUCCUGGCUUUUCCCCACCUCGCUGGUGCCUCCUCUUGACCGACAGCGACCUCCCUCCCUGGCGUGUCCUUCUUGAUGUUCUCCGCUCCUUGUGCAUCCUCCUUCCCGACGUUCCGACCCCAUCGGUGCCUCCUAUGCUGCGGCCCCAAACCCACCGCCCCAGCCCAGCCUUGCCCAUGGCCGCCCC